CUAGUGUAGGUAGUAUUCUGCAAUAAGCUGCCGUGGUUUGUGUCUGAACUACUUGAAAAAGAUAUCUCAAACGUUGUGGUCUACUGUAGGUAGUAUUCUGCAAUAAGCUGUAGUGGUUUGUGUCUGAACUACCUGAAAAAGACCUCAAUCUCAAACUUGGGGUCCAAUGACGUCCACUGAAAUGACGUCACAGUCAUAUAAUCAUAGAGUACUAUUGUACUAGCUUAAUACAUAAAUACAUACAGAGGUCUCACUUCUGCCGGAGAGUCUCAACCUCGUACCCAGGCUCUUUCCACUGUACGAGGUUGAGAGUCUCACUUAGGCCAUUUAUUUCGUCUGCAAAUAUUUAGUCUAUGGAAACAACAGUAAUAAGGGCCCACAGUAAUUGGUUUUAAGCUGUUGUGGUGUCCGCCUUGUUGUUGUCACCUUUUUAUCCAACCUUUCACCCCCCUGGAACAUUAAGUUUCAAUAUGUUUUCAGGGGGUGACCACCUUUCUUUCAG
This is a non-coding RNA of Paramuricea clavata, 502 nucleotides long. Lineage: Eukaryota; Metazoa; Cnidaria; Anthozoa; Malacalcyonacea; Plexauridae. The record is from the annotation of a GenBank genome assembly.